UCCAGGUCCCCGAUGAAGUAGGUGCAUCCCAGGAGAGUGAGCAUUCUGAUGGACAAGGAGGAAGAUGGAAUCAUGCAUUGUGAUGGCUUGCGACUUCAGUUCACCAGACCUGCCUCGCCCAUUUCAAAACCUCUUCAACUGUAAAGGCUUCCUUGAUCUCCAACCACUCUGCAAACUUGUGAUUUCUGCUCCCCUAAUUCUCCACUUGAACUUGUGCUAAGACCCUUUUCUGCUGCCUUGGGUCUGACCAACAUGUGAUCCGUGAUCUGUACUCAAGUCAGCCCUCAGGCCUGCUGCAAAAUAAAACCCUGAUGUCGUCCAAUGAAGAAGAUGUAGCAAAUGAAGAAAAAAAAUAGAGUUUUAACAUUAAUCUGUAAUUUUUAUUGACAUCUUUUAAGAUCUAAGUCCUUCAAUAAAAUUACUCAAAUCCUUU
This is a long non-coding RNA of Ochotona curzoniae (black-lipped pika), 433 nucleotides long. RefSeq lists it as uncharacterized. The record is from RefSeq and is a predicted model, not a curated record. NCBI's taxonomy places the organism in Eukaryota, Metazoa, Chordata, Mammalia, Lagomorpha, Ochotonidae. The transcript has 2 exons.